UACGUAGGGGGCUAGCGUUGUCCGGAAUCAUUGGGCGUAAAGCGCGUGUAGGCGGCUUGCCAAGUCCGAUGUGAAAGCUCGGGGCUUAACCCCGAGUCUGCGUUGGAAACUGGCUUGCUUGAGUCCGGAAGAGGAGACUGGAAUUCCUGGUGUAGCGGUGAAAUGCGCAGAUAUCAGGAAGAACACCGGUGGCGAAGGCGGGUCUCUGGGACGGUACUGACGCUGAGACGCGAAAGCGUGGGGAGCAAACAGG
This 253-nucleotide ribosomal RNA is filed under the name uncultured bacterium. Its description in RNAcentral is "partial 16S ribosomal RNA". It matches the Rfam family "Bacterial small subunit ribosomal RNA", at positions 524 to 776 of the family's 1533-position model. The record is from RNAcentral.